AAGCGACGUUCAACCGCAAAACAAGCAGAGGGGGCUUAGUGGUGGGGUGACUGCGUACCUUUUGUAUAAUGGGUCAGCGACUUAUAUUCUGUAGCAAGGUUAACCGUAUAGGGGAGCCGGAGGGAAACCGAGUCUUAAUUGGGCGUUAAGUUGCAGGGUAUAGACCCGAAACCCGGUGAUCUAGCCAUGGGCAGGUUGAAGGUUGGGUAACACUAACUGGAGGACCGAACCGACUAAUGUUGAAAAAUUAGCGGAUGACCUGUGGCUGGGGGUGAAAGGCCAAUCAAACCGGGAGAUAGCUGGUUCUCCCCGAAAGCUAUUUAGGUAGCGCCUCGUGAAUUCAUCUCCGGGGGUAGAGCACUGUUUCGGCUAGGGGGCCAUCCCGGCUUACCAACCCGAUGCAAACUGCGAAUACCGGAGAAUGUUAUCACGGGAGACACACGGCGGGUGCUAACGUCCGUCGUGAAGAGGGAAACAACCCAGACCGCCAGCUAAGGUCCCAAAGUCAUGGUUAAGUGGGAAACGAUGUGGGAAGGCCCAGACAGCCAGGAUGUUGGCUUAGAAGCAGCCAUCAUUUAAAGAAAGCGUAAUAGCUCACUGGUCGAGUCGGCCUGCGCGGAAGAUGUAACGGGGCUAAACCAUGCACCGAAGCUGCGGCAGCGAACGUAUCACUUAAAGCGAUUCAGCGGGUUACGAUUGACGGAGCGAAGCGACGUCAAAGCGUAUACAAAGUCGAGUCGGUUUAAGGAUACGUUCGUUGGGUAGGGGAGCGUUCUGUAAGCCUGCGAAGGUGGCCUGUGAGGGUUGCUGGAGGUAUCAGAAGUGCGAAUGCUGACAUAAGUAACGAUAAAGCGGGUGAAAAGCCCGCUCGCCGGAAGACCAAGGGUUCCUGUCCAACGUUAAUCGGGGCAGGGUGAGUCGACCCCUAAGGCGAGGCCGAAAGGCGUAGUCGAUGGGAAACGGGUUAAUAUUCCCGUACUUGGUGUUACUGCGAAGGGGGGACGGAGAAGGCUAUGUUGGCCGGGCGACGGUUGUCCCGGUUUAAGCGUGUAGGCUGGUUUUCCAGGCAAAUCCGGAAAAUCAAGGCUGAGGCGUGACGACGAGGCACUACGGUGCUGAAGCAACAAAUGCCCUGCUUCCAGGAAAAGCCUCUAAGCAUCAGGUAACACGAAAUCGUACCCCAAACCGACACAGGUGGUCAGGUAGAGAAUACCAAGGCGCUUGAGAGAACUCGGGUGAAGGAACUAGGCAAAAUGGUGCCGUAACUUCGGGAGAAGGCACGCUGACACGUAGGUGAAGUGAUUUACUCAUGGAGCUGAAGUCAGUCGAAGAUACCAGCUGGCUGCAACUGUUUAUUAAAAACACAGCACUGUGCAAACACGAAAGUGGACGUAUACGGUGUGACGCCUGCCCGGUGCCGGAAGGUUAAUUGAUGGGGUCAGCGCAAGCGAAGCUCCUGAUCGAAGCCCCGGUAAACGGCGGCCGUAACUAUAACGGUCCUAAGGUAGCGAAAUUCCUUGUCGGGUAAGUUCCGACCUGCACGAAUGGCGUAAUGAUGGCCAGGCUGUCUCCACCCGAGACUCAGUGAAAUUGAACUCGCUGUGAAGAUGCAGUGUACCCGCGGCAAGACGGAAAGACCCCGUGAACCUUUACUAUAGCUUGACACUGAACAUUGAGCCUUGAUGUGUAGGAUAGGUGGGAGGCUUUGAAGUGUGGACGCCAGUCUGCAUGGAGCCGACCUUGAAAUACCACCCUUUAAUGUUUGAUGUUCUAACGUGGACCCGUAAUCCGGGUUGCGGACAGUGUCUGGUGGGUAGUUUGACUGGGGCGGUCUCCUCCUAAAGAGUAACGGAGGAGCACGAAGGUUGGCUAAUCCUGGUCGGACAUCAGGAGGUUAGUGCAAUGGCAUAAGCCAGCUUGACUGCGAGCGUGACGGCGCGAGCAGGUGCGAAAGCAGGUCAUAGUGAUCCGGUGGUUCUGAAUGGAAGGGCCAUCGCUCAACGGAUAAAAGGUACUCCGGGGAUAACAGGCUGAUACCGCCCAAGAGUUCAUAUCGACGGCGGUGUUUGGCACCUCGAUGUCGGCUCAUCACAUCCUGGGGCUGAAGUAGGUCCCAAGGGUAUGGCUGUUCGCCAUUUAAAGUGGUACGCGAGCUGGGUUUAGAACGUCGUGAGACAGUUCGGUCCCUAUCUGCCGUGGGCGCUGGAGAACUGAGGGGGGCUGCUCCUAGUACGAGAGGACCGGAGUGGACGCAUCACUGGUGUUCGGGUUGUCAUGCCAAUGGCACUGCCCGGUAGCUAAAUGCGGAAGAGAUAAGUGCUGAAAGCAUCUAAGCACGAAACUUGCCCCGAGAUGAGUUCUCCCUGAGACUUAGAGUCUCCUGAAGGAACGUUGAAGACGACGACGUUGAUAGGCCGGGUGUGUAAGCGCAGCGAUGCGUUGAGCUAACCGGUACUAAUGAACCGUGAGGCUUAACCUU
This 2479-nucleotide ribosomal RNA is filed under the name Salmonella enterica. RNAcentral describes it as "partial 23S ribosomal RNA". It matches the Rfam family "Bacterial large subunit ribosomal RNA", at positions 542 to 2925 of the family's 2925-position model. The record is from RNAcentral. Lineage: Bacteria; Pseudomonadati; Pseudomonadota; Gammaproteobacteria; Enterobacterales; Enterobacteriaceae.